AGUGCUGUGCACACAGAUGAAGAGCACGGAAGGCUGCGGCACUGACGGAUGGGGGAUGACAAGGACUUUCCUGUCCAUGUUAUGUCUGCGCUUCACACCGGGGAACAGUGUAGCCGCGGAGACAUGACCACGAUGCGAAGGAACGAACGACGCGAUGCGGACGUGAGGAGCAUCUGCCCCAGCUUCGAAGGAGGUGAGAGUUGUGGAUUUCAGGGAUGAGGCAGGUUCCUACUUAUGGACCCCAACCUGAGUGAGGAGCAAGAGGGAGACGGUCUUCUAGACUGUGGGCCCACUGUUGGGUAGGGACUGUCUCUAUAUGUUGCCAACUUGU
Molecule: long non-coding RNA, 331 nt
Organism: Tachyglossus aculeatus (Australian echidna)
Lineage: Eukaryota; Metazoa; Chordata; Mammalia; Monotremata; Tachyglossidae
Exons: 3
Source: RefSeq, a predicted model, not a curated record